CUAUGACAUAGCAUCAUGAACAAGGAAAACCAAAGCACCAAGGAAGAUGAACAUAUUCUUGCCGAUGUCCCAUUACAGAGAAAACAGAGCAAGAAAAAAGGGGAUUGAUCUUCGAUCUAGAAAAUAGGGGAUCCAUCUUUCCAUUGAUCUUACAAACAAAAGAUAGCAACAUAGCAAAGAUGGCUACGGUUCCAAUGAAAUCUAAAGUUACUAAUUAACAGCAUAGCAAAGAUAACAACAUUGAUCUUCCACCGGCAGGGCUCGCUCACUCCAUCCACCCUCAUUCCGUGCCAUGACGCAGUGGCGACUCCACUUCUUCCUGUUCUCG
This 328-nucleotide long non-coding RNA is filed under the name Setaria viridis. RNAcentral describes it as "long non-coding RNA (SVIR_LNC008924)". Lineage: Eukaryota; Viridiplantae; Streptophyta; Magnoliopsida; Poales; Poaceae. The record is from RNAcentral.